Molecule: ribosomal RNA, 728 nt
Filed under: Bacillus subtilis
Lineage: Bacteria; Bacillati; Bacillota; Bacilli; Caryophanales; Bacillaceae
Description: bacterial SSU rRNA
Rfam family: Bacterial small subunit ribosomal RNA
Source: RNAcentral
GUCGAGCGGACAGAUGGGAGCUUGCUCCCUGAUGUUAGCGGCGGACGGGUGAGUAACACGUGGGUAACCUGCCUGUAAGACUGGGAUAACUCCGGGAAACCGGGGCUAAUACCGGAUGGUUGUUUGAACCGCAUGGUUCAAACAUAAAAGGUGGCUUCGGCUACCACUUACAGAUGGACCCGCGGCGCAUUAGCUAGUUGGUGAGGUAANGGCUCACCAAGGCAACGAUGCGUAGCCGACCUGAGAGGGUGAUCGGCCACACUGGGACUGAGACACGGCCCAGACUCCUACGGGAGGCAGCAGUAGGGAAUCUUCCGCAAUGGACGAAAGUCUGACGGAGCAACGCCGCGUGAGUGAUGAAGGUUUUCGGAUCGUAAAGCUCUGUUGUUAGGGAAGAACAAGUACCGUUCGAAUAGGGCGGUACCUUGACGGUACCUAACCAGAAAGCCACGGCUAACUACGUGCCAGCAGCCGCGGUAAUACGUAGGUGGCAAGCGUUGUCCGGAAUUAUUGGGCGUAAAGGGCUCGCAGGCGGUUUCUUAAGUCUGAUGUGAAAGCCCCCGGCUCAACCGGGGAGGGUCAUUGGAAACUGGGGAACUUGAGUGCAGAAGAGGAGAGUGGAAUUCCACGUGUAGCGGUGAAAUGCGUAGAGAUGUGGAGGAACACCAGUGGCGAAGGCGACUCUCUGGUCUGUAACUGACGCUGAGGAGCGAAAGCGUGGGGAGCGA